AUACGGAGGAUCCGAGCGUUAUCCGGAUUUAUUGGGUUUAAAGGGUGCGCAGGCGGGAGAUUAAGUCGGCGGUGAAAUUUUGCAGCUCAACUGUAAAAGGGCCAUCGAUACUGGUUUUCUUGAGUGUGGAUGAAGUAGGCGGAAUUUGUGGUUUAGCGGUGAAAUGCAUAGAUAUCACGAGGAACUCCGAUUGCGCAGGCAUCUUACUAGGCCAUAACUGACGCUCAGGCACGAAGGGGUGGAGAUCAAACAGGAUUAGAUACCCUGGUAGUCCAGGCAGUAAACGAUGAUUACUCGCUGUUUGCGAUACACAGUAAGCGGUUUAGCGAAAGCGUUAAGUAAUCCACCUGGGGAGUACGUUCGCAAGAAUGAAGCUCAAAUGAAUUGGCGGGG
This 393-nucleotide ribosomal RNA is filed under the name uncultured bacterium. RNAcentral describes it as "partial 16S ribosomal RNA". It matches the Rfam family "Bacterial small subunit ribosomal RNA", at positions 523 to 918 of the family's 1533-position model. The record is from RNAcentral.